CACGUAGGGCGCAAGCGUUGUCCGGAAUUAUUGGGCGUAAAGAGCUCGUAGGCGGUUUGUCGCGUCUGCUGUGAAAACCCGAGGCUCAACCUCGCGCCUGCAGUGGGUACGGGCAGACUGGAGUGCGGUAGGGGAGAUUGGAAUUCCUGGUGUAGCGGUGGAAUGCGCAGAUAUCAGGAGGAACACCGAUGGCGAAGGCAGAUCUCUGGGCCGUAACUGACGCUGAGGAGCGAAAGCGUGGGGAGCGAACAGG
RNAcentral lists this ribosomal RNA (253 nucleotides) under uncultured bacterium. RNAcentral describes it as "partial 16S ribosomal RNA". It matches the Rfam family "Bacterial small subunit ribosomal RNA", at positions 524 to 776 of the family's 1533-position model. The record is from RNAcentral.